This 350-nucleotide ribosomal RNA is filed under the name Hodotermes mossambicus. Its description in RNAcentral is "partial 12S ribosomal RNA". Lineage: Eukaryota; Metazoa; Arthropoda; Insecta; Blattodea; Hodotermitidae. The record is from RNAcentral.
UGAGUAGUAUUAGUUAUGUUCUUGAAACUUAAAGAAUUUGGCGGUAUUUCAUUCUGUYCARAGGAAUCUGCCUCGUUAUCGAUAAUCCGCGUUGGACCUUGCUUGAUUUAAUUUGUUUGUAUACCGCCGUUAUAAUGAGUAUCCUUGUAGGGCUUCUUAAUUUUCUUAUUCUAUGAUUGKGGUUUAUUUCAGGUCAAGGUGCAGCUUAUGGUCAAGUGUUUGGUGGAUUACAUUUAUUAAUUUAUUAUCGGAUCACUUGUUGUAAUUCUGGUGUGAAGUUGGAUUUGAUUGUAACUUAAUUAAAGUUUGUUUUGGUGAUUUAUGUUUUGAAAUAUGCACACAUCSCCCGU